This 386-nucleotide long non-coding RNA is filed under the name Zalophus californianus (California sea lion). RNAcentral describes it as "lncRNA (ENSZCAG00015006986.1)". The record is from RNAcentral. Lineage: Eukaryota; Metazoa; Chordata; Mammalia; Carnivora; Otariidae.
CAGCUAGGGAAAGGUGCCCAAGUACAACCUGGAAGCCACUUCCCCUCUGUUUGCCUGUCUCCUAGCCUUAUUUCUCCUUUUCCAGGAGCGUCUCACAGGAUUGAAUUCAGGUUCCUCUGACACCGUUCCUCAGAAAUGCUGGUUCAAGCCUUCUGACCAAGUGAAAAGCAUCAAAGGGAAAAGGCCCUCAGAGAAGGAAACCUCCCUGGGGUGGAAUCUGUACCCCACUGUUCCCUGACGGACUCAGUGGACCCACCAGGGGGUGUGGUCCUCAGUUCUGGCUCUUCCCCAAGAGGAGAGCCAUCGGUGGAGAGAUUUCAAAAACCUUCAGGAAGCCACGGGCGUAUCGUUGUUUUCCACCCUGCUUCUUUGAAUUUUCUGAAAAU